UGAUCCGGAGAUGUCUGAAUGGGGGAACCCACCUACUUUAAGGUAGGUAUUGCAACAUGAAUACAUAGUGUUGCAAGGCGAACGAGGGGAAGUGAAACAUCUCAGUACCCUUAGGAAAAGAAAUCAAUUGAGAUUCCCUCAGUAGCGGCGAGCGAACGGGGAUCAGCCCAUUAAGUUAUGUGUGUUUUAGUGGAACGCUCUGGGAAGUGCGAACGUAGAGGGUGAUAUUCCCGUACACGAAAGGGCACACAUAAUGAUGACGAGUAGGGCGAGGCACGUGAAACCUUGUCUGAAUAUGGGGGGACCAUCCUCCAAGGCUAAAUACUCCUGACUGACCGAUAGUGAACCAGUACCGUGAGGGAAAGGCGAAAAGAACCCCUGUGAGGGGAGUGAAAUAGAUCCUGAAACCGCAUGCAUACAAGCAGUGGGAGCACCUUCGUGGUGUGACUGCGUACCUUUUGUAUAAUGGGUCAGCGACUUAUAUUCAGUAGCGAGGUUAACCGUAUAGGGGAGCCGUAGAGAAAUCGAGUCUUAAUAGGGCGUUUAGUUGCUGGGUAUAGACCCGAAACCAGGCGAUCUAUCCAUGAGCAGGUUGAAGGUUGGGUAACACUAACUGGAGGACCGAACCCACUGUCGUUGAAAAGCCAGGGGAUGACUUGUGGAUAGGGGUGAAAGGCUAAUCAAGCCUGGUGAUAGCUGGUUCUCCCCGAAAGCUAUUUAGGUAGCGCCUCGGACGAAUACCAUAGGGGGUAGAGCACUGUUUCGGCUAGGGGGUCAUCCCGACUUACCAAACCGAUGCAAACUCCGAAUACCUAUGAGUACUAUCCGGGAGACAGACUGCGGGUGCUAACGUCCGUAGUCAAGAGGAAAACAAUCCAGACCGCCAGCUAAGGCCCCAAAAUCAUAGUUAAGUGGGAAACGAUGUGGGAAGGCAUAGACAGCUAGGAGGUUGGCUUAGAAGCAGCCACCCUUUAAAGAAAGCGUAAUAGCUCACUAGUCGAGUCGGCCUGCGCGGAAGAUGUAACGGGGCUAAAACUAUGUGCCGAAGCUGCGGAUGUAUACUUUGUAUACGUGGUAGGGGAGCGUUCUGUAAGCCGAUGAAGGUGUGUUGAGAAGCAUGCUGGAGGUAUCAGAAGUGCGAAUGCUGACGUGAGUAACGACAAAACGGGUGAAAAACCCGUUCGCCGAAAGACCAAGGGUUCCAGUCCAACGUUAAUCGGGGCUGGGUGAGUCGACCCCUAAGGCGAGGCCGAAAGGCGUAGUCGAUGGGAAAAUGGUUAAUAUUCCAUUACUUCUGUGUAAUGCGAUGAGAGGACGGAGAAGGCUAAAUCAGCCUGGCGUUGGUUGUCCAGGUGAAAGGAUGUAGGCAUGUAUCUUAGGCAAAUCCGGGGUACUCUAUGCUGAGAUCUGAUAGCAAGCUGUACUUGUACAGCGAAGUGGUUGAUGCCAUGCUUCCAGGAAAAGUCUCUAAGCUUCAGUUACACAGGAAUCGUACCCGAAACCGACACAGGUGGUCAGGUCGAGUAGACCAAGGCGCUUGAGAGAACUCUGCUGAAGGAACUAGGCAAAAUGGUACCGUAACUUCGGGAGAAGGUACGCUGUUGUUGGUGAUGGAACUCGCUUCCUGAGCUGACGACAGCCGCAGAAACCAGGCCGCUGCAACUGUUUAUUAAAAACAUAGCACUCUGCAAACACGAAAGUGGACGUAUAGGGUGUGAUGCCUGCCCGGUGCUGGAAGGUUAAUUGAUGGGGUUAGCGUAAGCGAAGCUCUUGAUCGAAGCCCCAGUAAACGGCGGCCGUAACUAUAACGGUCCUAAGGUAGCGAAAUUCCUUGUCGGGUAAGUUCCGACCUGCACGAAUGGCAUAAUGAUGGCGGCGCUGUCUCCAGCAGAGGCUCAGUGAAAUCGAAAUCGCUGUGAAGAUGCAGUGUACCCGCGGCUAGACGGAAAGACCCCGUGAACCUUUACUGCAGCUUGACACUGAACUUUGACCUUACUUGUGUAGGAUAGGUGGGAGGCUUUGAAGCUGGAACGCUAGUUCCAGUGGAGCCGUCCUUGAAAUACCACCCUGGUAAUGUUGAGGUUCUAACUCUGUCCCGUGAUCCGGGACGAGGACCGUGUCUGGUGGGUAGUUUGACUGGGGCGGUCUCCUCCUAAAGAGUAACGGAGGAGUACGAAGGUGCGCUCAGCGUGGUCGGAAAUCACGCGUAGAGUAUAAAGGCAAAAGCGCGCUUAACUGCGAGACCCACAAGUCGAGCAGGUACGAAAGUAGGUCUUAGUGAUCCGGUGGUUCUGUAUGGAAGGGCCAUCGCUCAACGGAUAAAAGGUACUCUGGGGAUAACAGGCUGAUACCGCCCAAGAGUUCAUAUCGACGGCGGUGUUUGGCACCUCGAUGUCGGCUCAUCUCAUCCUGGGGCUGAAGCAGGUCCCAAGGGUAUGGCUGUUCGCCAUUUAAAGAGGUACGCGAGCUGGGUUUAGAACGUCGUGAGACAGUUCGGUCCCUAUCUACCGUGGGCGCUGGAAAUUUGAGAGGAUCUGCUCCUAGUACGAGAGGACCAGAGUGGACGAACCUCUGGUGUACCGGUUGUGACGCCAGUCGCAUCGCCGGGUAGCUAUGUUCGGAAGGGAUAACCGCUGAAAGCAUCUAAGCGGGAAGCCUACCUCAAGAUAAGAUUUCCCUAGGACUUUAUGUCCUCUAAAGAGCCGUUCGAGACUAGGACGUUGAUAGGUUGGAUGUGGAAGCAUAGUGAUAUGUGAAGCUGACCAAUACUAAUUGCUCGUGAGGCUUGACUAU
RNAcentral lists this ribosomal RNA (2793 nucleotides) under Acinetobacter baumannii. RNAcentral describes it as "partial 23S ribosomal RNA". It matches the Rfam family "Bacterial large subunit ribosomal RNA". The record is from RNAcentral. Lineage: Bacteria; Pseudomonadati; Pseudomonadota; Gammaproteobacteria; Moraxellales; Moraxellaceae.